CCUUCGGGUGUAAACUGCCGUCAGGGGGAAGAAACCUUGCGUAUAAAUAGUACGUAAGCUGACAUCACCCCCAAAGGAAGCCACGGCUAACUCUGUGC
Molecule: ribosomal RNA, 98 nt
Filed under: uncultured bacterium
Lineage: Bacteria
Description: partial 16S ribosomal RNA
Source: RNAcentral